RNAcentral lists this ribosomal RNA (279 nucleotides) under uncultured bacterium. RNAcentral describes it as "partial 16S ribosomal RNA". It matches the Rfam family "Bacterial small subunit ribosomal RNA", at positions 506 to 784 of the family's 1533-position model. The record is from RNAcentral.
UGCCAGCCGCCGCGGUAAUACGGAGGUCCCAAGCGUUGUUCGGAUUCACUGGGCGUAAAGGGUGCGUAGGUGGUUGGGAAAGUUUGAUGUGAAAGCUCCGGGCUCAACCCGGAAAAUGCAUUGAAUACUACUCAACUAGAGGAUCGGAGGGGAAACUGGAAUUCUUGGUGUAGCAGUGAAAUGCAUAGAUAUCAAGAGGAACAUCAGUGGCGAAGGCGAGUUUCUGGACGAUUCCUGACACUGAGGCACGAAGGCUAGGGGAGCAAACAGGAUUAGAUA